Molecule: ribosomal RNA, 253 nt
Filed under: uncultured bacterium
Lineage: Bacteria
Description: partial 16S ribosomal RNA
Rfam family: Bacterial small subunit ribosomal RNA
Source: RNAcentral
UACGGAGGGUGCAAGCGUUAUCCGGAUUCACUGGGUUUAAAGGGUGCGUAGGAGGGCAGGUAAGUCAGUGGUGAAAUCCCCAAGCUUAACUUGGGAACUGCCAUUGAUACUAUCUGUCUUGAAUACCGUGGAGAUGAGCGGAAUAUGUCAUGUAGCGGUGAAAUGCUUAGAUAUGACAUAGAACACCAAUUGCGAAGGCAGCUCAUUACACGAAUAUUGACUCUGAGGCACGAAAGCGUGGGGAUCAAACAGG